AUACGGAGGGGGCUAGCGUUGUUCGGAAUUACUGGGCGUAAAGCGCGCGUAGGCGGUCUGUCGAGUUGGGUGUGAAAUCCCAGGGCUCAACCCUGGAACUGCAGUGGAAACUGCUGAACUUGAGUUUUAGAGAGGUGAGGGGAAUUCCUGGUGUAAUAGUGAAAUAUGUAGAGAUCAGGAGGAAUACCGAUGGCGAAGGCACCUCACUGGCUGAAGACUGACGCUGAACUGCGAAAGCUAGGGUAGCAAACAGGAUUAGAAACCCCAGUAGUCC
RNAcentral lists this ribosomal RNA (274 nucleotides) under uncultured bacterium. RNAcentral describes it as "partial 16S ribosomal RNA". It matches the Rfam family "Bacterial small subunit ribosomal RNA", at positions 523 to 796 of the family's 1533-position model. The record is from RNAcentral.